UACGAAGGGGGCUAGCAUUGUUCGGAUUUACUGGGCGUAAAGCGCACGUAGGCGGAUCGUUAAGUCGGGGGUGAAAUCCUGGAGCUCAACUCCAGAACUGCCUUCGAUACUGGCGAUCUUGAGUCCGGAAGAGGUGAGUGGAACUCCUAGUGUAGAGGUGGAAUUCGUAGAUAUUAGGAAGAACACCAGUGGCGAAGGCGGCUCACUGGUCCGGUACUGACGCUGAGGUGCGAAAGCGUGGGGAGCAAACAGG
RNAcentral lists this ribosomal RNA (253 nucleotides) under uncultured bacterium. RNAcentral describes it as "partial 16S ribosomal RNA". It matches the Rfam family "Bacterial small subunit ribosomal RNA", at positions 524 to 776 of the family's 1533-position model. The record is from RNAcentral.